UGCAUACUUACAUAACUAAAACCAUUUACUCUCUUGUUGGUUUGUCUUUUUUUAGUUUCAUAUCCAGAACCCCAGCUAGAGAAGCUAGGAGGGUAGAGGGAAAACAUUUUUUCUUCUCCUGCAAUAGAAUCGUCAAUCUUCCAGCAUGGCUUGAUGAGCAGUGUGUAGGUCUACACCCAAGAUCUGAACCCACGAACCCUGGGCCACUGAAGCAGAGCACAUGAACUUAACCACUACACCACCAGGCCAGACCCUGGAGGAUAUGUCUUCAGGACAUAUCUGUUCGUCAAGAAAUAUCUCCUGUCAAGCAGCCUUUGAAAGAGAUUGCGGCUCAUGAUCUGAGAUCCCAGAAACACUCUCUGUCGUAAUGACUAAAAAAUUAAAAUGGACAUCAAAAGCCCUGAAAGCUAAACGAAAAGACAACUUUCACUGAGAAGAUGCGUUCUUGAGACCUAGACUUCUAACGAAGCACAGGAUAGCUAACAUAUCUGAAUCUCAGGAUUGUGCUUCAGAAACUCUCAUCUUCUAGGUCUGCCUCUAUUUGCUACUUUCUGACAAGUACUUGACCUCACGGCAUCUCCACUCCUGUCAAUCAAUCGAGAGCAACUAUGUUCAGUGCCGUCUAUGUCCUAGAGGUUCUCACCAUGAAGAAUUUGUAAAUAAAAAGUACUAUGAAAACGACAA
This 684-nucleotide long non-coding RNA is filed under the name Equus asinus (donkey). RNAcentral's name for it is "lncRNA (ENSEASG00005035373.1)". Lineage: Eukaryota; Metazoa; Chordata; Mammalia; Perissodactyla; Equidae. The record is from RNAcentral.